UACGUAGGGGGCCAGCGUUGCUCGGAAUUACUGGGCGUAAAGGGUCCGUAGGCGGUGCGGCAAGUCGAGAGUGAAAUCCCUAGGCUUAACCUAGGGGCUGCUAGCGAAACUGCCGUGCUAGAGUGUGAGAGAGGCGAGUGGAAUUACGGGUGUAGCGGUGAAAUGCGUAGAUAUCUGCAGGAACACCCGUGGCGAAAGCGGCGCGCUGGACCACUACUGACGCUGAGGAACGAAAGCUAGGGGAGCAAACAG
RNAcentral lists this ribosomal RNA (252 nucleotides) under uncultured bacterium. RNAcentral describes it as "partial 16S ribosomal RNA". It matches the Rfam family "Bacterial small subunit ribosomal RNA", at positions 524 to 775 of the family's 1533-position model. The record is from RNAcentral.